RNAcentral lists this ribosomal RNA (466 nucleotides) under bacterium D08. Its description in RNAcentral is "bacterial SSU rRNA". It matches the Rfam family "Bacterial small subunit ribosomal RNA", at positions 61 to 504 of the family's 1533-position model. The record is from RNAcentral.
GUCGAGCGAACAGAGAAGGAGCUUGCUCCUUUGACGUUAGCGGCGGACGGGUGAGUAACACGUGGGCAACCUACCUUAUAGUUUGGGAUAACUCCGGGAAACCGGGGCUAAUACCGAAUAAUCUUGUUUCACCUCAUGGUGAAAUAUUGAAAGACGGUUUCGGCUGUCGCUAUAGGAUGGGCCCGCGGCGCAUUAGCUAGUUGGUGAGGUAACGGCUCACCAAGGCGACGAUGCGUAGCCGACCUGAGAGGGUGAUCGGCCACACUGGGACUGAGACACGGCCCAGACUCCUACGGGAGGCAGCAGUAGGGAAUCUUCCACAAUGGGCGAAAGCCUGAUGGAGCAACGCCGCGUGAGUGAAGAAGGAUUUCGGUUCGUAAAACUCUGUUGUACAGGGAAGAACAAGUACAGUAGUAACUGGCUGUACCUUGACGGUACUUAUUCAGAAAGCCCAACGGCUAACUAC